AGUGAACGCUGGCGGUAGGCCUAACACAUGCAAGUCGAACGGCAGCACAGUAAGAGCUUGCUCUUACGGGUGGCGAGUGGCGGACGGGUGAGGAAUACAUCGGAAUCUACUUUUUCGUGGGGGAUAACGUAGGGAAACUUACGCUAAUACCGCAUACGACCUACGGGUGAAAGCAGGGGAUCUUCGGACCUUGCGCGAUUGAAUGAGCCGAUGGCGGAUUAGCUAGUUGGCGGGGUAAAGGCCCACCAAGGCGACGAUCCGUAGCUGGUAUGAGAGGAUGAUCAGCCACACUGGGACUGAGACACGGUCCAGAGUCCUACGGGAGGCAGCAGUGGGGAAUAUUGGACAAUGGGCGCAAGCCUGAUCCAGCCAUACCGCGUGUGUGAAGAAGGCCUUCGGGUUGUAAAGUCCUGUUGUUGGGAAAGAAAAGCAGCAGGUUAAUACCCCGCUGUUCUGACGGUACCCAAAGAAUAAGCACCGGCUAACUUCGUG
RNAcentral lists this ribosomal RNA (492 nucleotides) under uncultured bacterium. RNAcentral's name for it is "partial 16S ribosomal RNA". It matches the Rfam family "Bacterial small subunit ribosomal RNA", at positions 29 to 507 of the family's 1533-position model. The record is from RNAcentral.